This 102-nucleotide ribosomal RNA is filed under the name Escherichia coli DEC5E. The record is from RNAcentral. Lineage: Bacteria; Pseudomonadati; Pseudomonadota; Gammaproteobacteria; Enterobacterales; Enterobacteriaceae.
GGCGGCCUUAGCGCGGUGGUCCCACCUGACCCCAUGCCGAACUCAGAAGUGAAACGCCGUAGCGCCGAUGGUAGUGUGGGGUCUCCCCAUGCGAGAGUAGGG